AUUGAACGCUGGCGGCAUGCCUUACACAUGCAAGUCGAACGGCAGCACGGGAGCAAUCCUGGUGGCGAGUGGCGAACGGGUGAGUAAAGUAUCGGAACAUGCCCAGUCGUGGGGGAUAACGUAGCGAAAGUUACGCUAAUACCGCAUACGAUCUAUGGAUGAAAGCGGGGGAUCGCAAGACCUCGCGCGCUUGGAGCGGCCGAUAUCAGAUUAGGUAGUUGGUGGGGUAAAGGCUCACCAAGCCGACGAUCUGUAGCUGGUCUGAGAGGACGACCAGCCACACUGGGACUGAGACACGGCCCAGACUCCUACGGGAGGCAGCAGUGGGGAAUUUUGGACAAUGGGCGAAAGCCUGAUCCAGCCAUGCCGCGUGCAGGAUGAAGGCCUUCGGGUUGUAAACUGCUUUUGUACGGAACGAAAAGGUUUGGGCUAAUAAGCUGAGCUCAUGACGGUACCGUAAGAAUAAGCACCGGCUAACUACGUGCCAGCAGCCGCCGCGG
Molecule: ribosomal RNA, 500 nt
Filed under: uncultured bacterium
Lineage: Bacteria
Description: partial 16S ribosomal RNA
Rfam family: Bacterial small subunit ribosomal RNA
Source: RNAcentral